GCUGCUCGAAAAAUGCACACCGCUACGAGGUGAGCAGCAGACAACACAGCAGAGACUGUGGCUAAGAGGCAAGA
RNAcentral lists this ribozyme (74 nucleotides) under Ruminococcus sp. CAG:353. RNAcentral describes it as "HDV ribozyme from F. prausnitzii". It matches the Rfam family "HDV ribozyme from F. prausnitzii". RNAcentral also lists the same sequence under 1 other name. Lineage: Bacteria; Bacillati; Bacillota; Clostridia; Eubacteriales; Oscillospiraceae. The record is from Rfam by way of RNAcentral.